This 221-nucleotide unclassified non-coding RNA is filed under the name Hevea brasiliensis (rubber tree). The record is from RNAcentral. Lineage: Eukaryota; Viridiplantae; Streptophyta; Magnoliopsida; Malpighiales; Euphorbiaceae.
GAUUUUUCCAAGACUGGGAAUGGCACCACCACCAUGGUAUUUCUCUUUGCGUGCCAAUAGAUUUGGAACCAUUGCCACGACCUGGCUUCUUGGAAAUUUUGCACAAUCUUUCCUACAAAGCUCUGGUGCUUUUGAAGUUUAUUGCAACGGUGAUUUGGUAUUCUCAAAACUGAAGGAGCAUAGAUUCCCGGGUGAGUUUGAGUUGAAAAAGCUUAUCGGCG